CUUUGCUUUGGUGUCAACUCAAGUCUCAACAAACCUUUGUUUCCAUGCGGUGAUUGUUUCCACCAUUCAAUUCGCUCUUUUCUCUUCCAACCCCUUCUUCUCGUUUGAUCGGAUUUUAUACAAACAUGUUGCGUGCAGCAUCAUUUUCAUCACUCUCAUUCUCCAGGUUCAGCUUCUCUCUUCAUAUCCCCUCUUUUCUUGUGCCCUAUGUUUUCCCUUUUCGCUUUCCUUCCUGUUCAUGUUCAAUGUCAAGCCUUCACUCUCAUUCUCACCUCACAUCCCCUCGCCAUGUUGAUGAAGCUGUUGAUUCCUUCACUCGCAUGCUCUCUGCGUCGCACUCCAUCCAUCGUCCAAUUUAACCAGAUUUUGGGGUCUCUUGCCAAGACGCACCAUUUCCCCACCGCCAUUUCCCUUUUUCAGCAAUUGCAAACCAGGGGAAUUGCUCCCAGCAUAGUUACUUUGAGCAUCGUAAUUAAUUGUUGUUGCGGCAUGGGUCAUAUGGCGCUUGCUUUCUCUGUAUUGACCAAGAUUUUCAGGAUGGGUUUUCAGCCUGAUAUCAUAACGUUGAAUACACUCAUUAAAGGUCUCUGUCUCUCUAGUAAGGUUGAAAAAGCACUGCAUUUUCAUGAUAGAUUGUUGGCUCAUGGAUUUCACUUCGACCAAGUCACUUAUGCAACUUUGAUUAAUGGGCUUUGUAAGACCGGACACACAGCAGCUGCUAUUCAAGUGUUGAGAAAGAUUCCACGGUAUGGGAUUGCUCCUGAUGUCGUCAUGUACAGCGCAAUUAUUGAUAGCUUGUGCAAGGUUACGCUUGUAAGUGAUGCUUUUCAUUUAUACUCUGAAAUGCUUGCUAAGGGAAUCUCUCCCGAUGUUAUCACGUACAACACGCUAACUUAUGGCUUGUGCCUUGCGGGCCAACUUAAGGAAACCAUUGAUUUACUAAAUCAUAUGAUGCUGAAAAACAUCAGUCCAGAUGUUCGUACCUAUAACACUUUGAUUGAUGGACUAUGUAAGGAGGGAAAUAUCAAAGAUGCUAAGAGUGUGUUGGCUGUGAUGACAAAAGAUGCUGUGGAGCCAACUGUGGUUACUUAUAAUUGUUUAAUGGAUGGGUAUUGCUUGGUUAACGAAUUAAACAAGGCAAAAUGUAUAUUCGACACAAUGCCCCAUAUAGGAAUGACUCCUAAUAUCCAAAGUUACAAUAUUAUUAUUAAUGGCUUGUGCAAAAGUAAAUUGAUGGAUGAUGCCUUGAAUAUCUUUGAAGAGAUGCGUCGCAAGAACUUGGUUCCGGACACGGUAACUUACAAUACUCUAAUUGAUGGCUUGAGAAAAUCAAGGAGAAUCUCUUGUGCUUCAAAGCUUCUUGUUGAGAUGCAUAGUAAAGGUCAACCUGCUGAUAUAAUCACUUACACUUCCUUGUUGGAUGGGAUGUUCAAUAUCAAACAAGUUGACGAGGCACUUAUGUUAUUUAAUCAAAUGAAAAAGAGUGGCAUUGAUCCGAAUAUAUUCACGUAUAAUAUACUUAUUCAUGGCCUAUGCAAAAAUGGCAGACUUAUAGAAGCAAAAGAGAUUUUUCAAGAUCUUUCCGUUAAAAACUAUCAUCCAAAUGUGAGGACAUACACUAUUAUGAUCAAUGGGCUUUGCAAAGAGGGCUUGUUUGAAGAAGCAUUGGCCCUGAUGUCAAAAAUGGAAGACAAUGGUUGCUUACCAAAUGCUGUGACUUUUGAAAUUGUUAUUCGUGCUUUGUUUGAAAAAGGUGAGAAUGACAUGGCGGAGAAACUUCUUCGGGAAAUGAUUGCUAGAGGCUUAUUGAAUGGAUGAAUGAAGAGAUUCUCUCGCGCUUUGGAGCUUUUUAUUGAGAUGCAUGAUAAAGGUCAACCUUCUUCUAUAUUCAUUUACAAUUUCUUGAUAGAUGCCUUGUGCAAAAACCGACAACUUGACAAGGCACUUGUGUUAUUCAGUAAAAUGGAAGAGAUUGCCAUUAACCAAAUAUACACUCAUACAACAUGCUUAUUGAUGACCUAUGCAAAAGUGGAAAACUUAAACAUGCUCAGGAGAUUUUUCAGGAUCUUCCUGUUAGAGGCUAAACGUCCAGCCAGACAUACAAUAUUGUGAUCAAUAGUCUUUCUAGAGAGGGUCUGUUUGAAGAUGCAUUGGCCCUGUUGUCAAAAAUGGAACAUGAUGGUUGCAUUCCUGAUGCUGUGACUUUUUAAACCAUUAUUUGAGCUUUGUUUGAAAAAGAUGAGAAUGUGACGGCAGAAAAACUCCUUCGUGAAAUAAUUGCUAGAGGCUUAUUGAAUAGAUAAAAGAAGAUUACAGCCUAAGCAGAAUCGAUUUAGAUUAUCCAUCUAAAGUCUAAACUUCCCGAUUUUAUCUCGUUAUCUAUUAGAAGUUCCACACAUCAAGAUGCUGUCUUUUUUAUGCUAAAGCAUGUGAUGACACUUGAUGUCAAAACUUAAGAUAUUGCGUGUGAAGAAAAGAUAGAGGACAUGGAGAAGAAGAAGAAAAUGAAAGAGGCCAUGAUUCUUGUUACUAUUGUAUUUUUGUGGCAAUAAUUAAUGAUAGGAGUCGGAGCUGCAAUUACUUUUGAUGGCUGCCAAAUAGCCAAAGAGAGUUUUAAUUUGGAUUUAUUUUGUUGAAUGCUUCUGUUGACUCAGUUGAUUCAUGGAUUUUGGUUUUGGGAGAAAGAAAGAGGCUAAAUUUUUGUGGCGAUGUGCAAUAUAUUCCACUAUUUGGAGCAUUUGGCUAGAACAGUCUUCGUACAUUUCAUGACAGAUUCACAGGAAAAGUUGUUUGUUUUAAAAUAUAUGAUUUUUUCAGAUGACUUUCCCUCAGACAUGAUGAGAGAUUGGAAGUUGCCGUUCAUUGAAGCUUCCGAACUUGUUUGUAUUUUCAAUGGUUUGGACUUUGGAGAAACUUUUUCCUCCACCCAUUUGUACUUUUCU
RNA transcript from Arachis duranensis, 2942 nucleotides. It is a transcript of the gene named pentatricopeptide repeat-containing protein At1g62930, chloroplastic-like, with no coding region annotated. Lineage: Eukaryota; Viridiplantae; Streptophyta; Magnoliopsida; Fabales; Fabaceae. The record is from RefSeq and is a predicted model, not a curated record. The transcript has 4 exons.